UACCAGCACCCCGAGUGGUCGGGACGAUUAUUGGGCCUAAAGCACCCGUAGCCGGUUCUACAAGUCUUCCGUUAAAUCCACCUGCUUAACAGAUGGGCUGCGGAGGAUACUAUGGAGCUAGGAGGCGGGAGAGGCAAGCGGUACUUAGUGGGUAGGGGUAAAAUCCGUUGAUCCAUUGAAGACCACCAGUGGCGAAGGCGGCUUGCCAGAACGCACUCGACGGUGAGGGAUGAAAGCUGGGGGAGCAAACCGG
Molecule: ribosomal RNA, 253 nt
Filed under: uncultured bacterium
Lineage: Bacteria
Description: partial 16S ribosomal RNA
Rfam family: Archaeal small subunit ribosomal RNA
Source: RNAcentral